CGUGCUUAACACAUGCAAGUCGAACGAUUAACCCGCCCUCGGGCGGUUAUAGAGUGGCGAACGGGUGAGUAACACGUGACCAACCUGCCCCUUGCUCCGGGACAACCCAGGGAAACCUCGGCUAAUACCGGAUACUCCGCGCAGCCCGCAUGGGAGGCGCGGGAAAGCCCAGACGGCAAGGGAUGGGGUCGCGGCCCAUUAGGUAGACGGCGGGGUAACGGCCCACCGUGCCCGCGAUGGGUAGCCGGGUUGAGAGACCGAUCGGCCACAUUGGGACUGAGAUACGGCCCAGACUCC
Molecule: ribosomal RNA, 297 nt
Filed under: uncultured Coriobacteriaceae bacterium
Lineage: Bacteria; Bacillati; Actinomycetota; Coriobacteriia; Coriobacteriales; Coriobacteriaceae
Description: partial 16S ribosomal RNA
Rfam family: Bacterial small subunit ribosomal RNA
Source: RNAcentral